Molecule: ribosomal RNA, 747 nt
Filed under: uncultured cyanobacterium
Lineage: Bacteria; Bacillati; Cyanobacteriota
Description: bacterial SSU rRNA
Rfam family: Bacterial small subunit ribosomal RNA
Source: RNAcentral
GCUUAGAGUUUGAUCCUGGCUCAGGAUGAACGCUGGCGGUAUGCUUAACACAUGCAAGUCGAACGGAGUACAUUGUACUUAGUGGCGGACGGGUGAGUAACGCGUGAGAAUCUGCCUUCAGGAUGGGGAUAACAGUGGGAAACCAAUGCUAAUACCCAAUGAGCCGAGAGGUAAAAAAUUUAUUGCCUGAAGAGGAGCUCGCGUCCGAUUAGUUAGUUGGUGGGGUAAAGGCCUACCAGGGCGGCGAUCGGUAACUGGUCUGAGAGGACGAUCGGUCACACUGGGACUGAGACACGGCCCAGACUCCUACGGGAGGCAGCAGUGGGGAAUUUUCCGCAAUGGGCGCAUGCCUGACGGAGCAAUACCGCGUGAGGGAGGAAGGCCUUUGGGUUGUAAACCUCUUUUCUUAAGGAAGAAGCUCUGACGGUACUUAAGGAAUCAGCAUCGGCUAACUCCGUGCCAGCAGCCGCGGUAAUACGGAGGAUGCAAGCGUUAUCCGGAAUUAUUGGGCGUAAAGCGUCCGUAGGCGGCAUUAUAAGUCUGCUGUCAAAGACCGCAGCUCAACUGCGGAGAGGCAGUGGAAACUGUAAAGCUAGAGUCUGGUAGGGGUAGAGGGAAUUCCCAGUGUAGCGGUGAAAUGCGUAGAGAUUGGGAAGAACACCAGUGGCGAAAGCGCUCUGCUGGGCCAGAACUGACGCUGAGGGACGAAAGCUAGGGGAGCGAAAGGGAUUAGAUACCCCUGUAGUC